This 387-nucleotide ribosomal RNA is filed under the name Triticum aestivum (bread wheat). RNAcentral's name for it is "partial small subunit ribosomal RNA". The record is from RNAcentral. Lineage: Eukaryota; Viridiplantae; Streptophyta; Magnoliopsida; Poales; Poaceae.
AUGAUUCUUGAAAACAGAGUGUGGGUUGUGUUUAUCAAUAAUAUGCUUCAGAUGUCAGUUCUGUUGCCAAAUGAUCUAAACUUGAUUUACACACUUCUAGAACAGAAAAGAAUAUGGCAUUUACCUUCCGUGGAUUUACUUGAACGAUUGUACAAGUAUCUCGGCUUGGUUUAUUUCCCAUCUCCAAUUAUUAAUUGUUUGCCAAGAUAUUUUUAUGGUGUUCUUACUCCUGAUUUACUGACAUGUUUGAUUUGUAGUCUCUUAGUAUAUAAUCAAGUAGUUGUAGCUAAACAAACGUAUAUCUUGCCAUGCUUUGGUGAAAGUAUUAAAGUUCGUCUCUGGUUUUACUUUCCAUGUGCUAUCCAUACCUAUGCUUUAUGUAGUUAA